Molecule: transfer RNA, 77 nt
Filed under: bacterium
Lineage: Bacteria
Also listed under: 3 other names
Description: tRNA-Arg
Rfam family: tRNA
About the family: Transfer RNA (tRNA) molecules are approximately 80 nucleotides in length. Their secondary structure includes four short double-helical elements and three loops (D, anti-codon, and T loops).
Source: RNAcentral
GCGCCCAUAGCUCAACUGGAUAGAGCGUCUGGCUACGGACCAGGAGGCUGGGGGUUCGAAUCCUCCUGGGCGUACCA